GGGGAAUAUUGGACAAUGGGGGCAACCCUGAUCCAGCCAUGCCGCGUGUGUGAAGAAGGCCUUUUGGUUGUAAAGCACUUUAAGCAGUGAAGAAGACUCCGUGGUUAAUACCCACGGACGAUGACAUUAGCUGCAGAAUAAGCACCGGCUAACUCUGUGCCAGCAGCCGCGGUAAUACAGAGGGUGCAAGCGUUAAUCGGAAUUACUGGGCGCAAAGCGAGCGUAGGUGGCUUGAUAAGUCAGAUGUGAAAUCCCCGGGCUUAACCUGGGAACUGCAUCUGAUACUGUUAGGCUAGAAUAGGUGGGAGGAAGGUAGAAUUCCAGGUGUAGCGGUGAAAUGCGUAGAGAUCUGGAGGAAUACCGAUGGCGAAGGCAGCCUUCUGGCAUCAUAGUGACACUGAGGUUCGAAAGCGUGGGUAGCAAAC
RNAcentral lists this ribosomal RNA (425 nucleotides) under uncultured bacterium. RNAcentral's name for it is "bacterial SSU rRNA". It matches the Rfam family "Bacterial small subunit ribosomal RNA", at positions 356 to 773 of the family's 1533-position model. The record is from RNAcentral.